AUGAUCCAAACAUUUGUAUCACUGUGGUACACGUUCGGUGGAGGAACCAGACUGGAAGUUAACUGUAAAGUCCCCCCCUCCCUGACGCUGCUGCCUCCCUCCGUGGAGGAGCUGCAGCAGGGGAAGGCCACGCUCAUGUGCCUGGCCAACAAGGGCUUCCCCUCAGACUGGAGUCUGUCCUGGAAGGUGGACGGCAGCAGCAGCAUCAGCAACGGGGAGCAGAGCAGGAGCCCCGGGGUGCUGCAGAAGGACGGCCACUACAGCUGGAGCAGCACCCUGAGGCUCCCUGCAGACCAGUGGAGGAAGGUGGUCUCUGUGACCUGUGAGGCCAGCCAGGGCUCCCAGACUCCGCUCUCAGAGACACUGAGGAGAGACCAGUGUUCCCAGUCCUGACCUGACUCACUGGGACUCUCACACUGCUUUCACUCUCUCUCUGCUCUCUGGCUUUUCUCUGUCUCUUUAUUUCUACCAUGAGACCAACUCAACAUCAUUAUUCUUCAGCUUCUCGUGUUUUUCAUGUUUCAACACAAUAAAGUUUUUUCUUCAAGUCAAA
Mugil cephalus (flathead mullet) is the source of this 553-nucleotide non-coding RNA. The record is from the annotation of a RefSeq genome assembly. NCBI's taxonomy places the organism in Eukaryota, Metazoa, Chordata, Actinopteri, Mugiliformes, Mugilidae.